UACGGAGGGAGCUAGCGUUGUUCGGAAUUACUGGGCGUAAAGCGCGCGUAGGCGGCUUUGUAAGUUAGAGGUGAAAGCCUGGAGCUCAACUUCAGAAUUGCCUUUAAGACUGCAUCGCUUGAAUCCGGGAGAGGUGAGUGGAAUUCCGAGUGUAGAGGUGAAAUUCGUAGAUAUUCGGAAGAACACCAGUGGCGAAGGCGACUACCUGGCCUGUUUCUUGACGCUGAGGCGCGAAAGCUAGGGGAGCAAACGGG
This 254-nucleotide ribosomal RNA is filed under the name uncultured bacterium. RNAcentral describes it as "partial 16S ribosomal RNA". It matches the Rfam family "Bacterial small subunit ribosomal RNA", at positions 524 to 776 of the family's 1533-position model. The record is from RNAcentral.